RNAcentral lists this transfer RNA (72 nucleotides) under Camelus bactrianus (Bactrian camel). It matches the Rfam family "tRNA". From Rfam's summary of the family: Transfer RNA (tRNA) molecules are approximately 80 nucleotides in length. Their secondary structure includes four short double-helical elements and three loops (D, anti-codon, and T loops). Further hydrogen bonds mediate the characteristic L-shaped molecular structure. tRNAs have two regions of fundamental functional importance: the anti-codon, which is responsible for specific mRNA codon recognition, and the 3' end, to which the tRNAs corresponding amino acid is attached (by aminoacyl-tRNA synthetases). tRNAs cope with the degeneracy of the genetic code in two manners: having more than one tRNA (with a specific anti-codon) for a particular amino acid; and 'wobble' base-pairing, i.e. permitting non-standard base-pairing at the 3rd anti-codon position. The record is from Rfam by way of RNAcentral. RNAcentral also lists the same sequence under 1 other name. Lineage: Eukaryota; Metazoa; Chordata; Mammalia; Artiodactyla; Camelidae.
GAAGGUCUAGCUCAGUGAUAGAGCGUCUGCUUAGCAUGCAUAAGGUCCUGGGUUCAAUCCCCAGUACCUCCA